UUAGAGUUUGAUCCUGGCUCAGGACGAACGCUGGCGGCGCGCCUAACACAUGCAAGUCGAACGGAGCUGAGAGGAGCUUGCUUUUCUUAGCUUAGUGGCGAACGGGUGAGUAACGCGUGAGUAACCUGCCCUGGAGUGGGGGACAACAGUUGGAAACGACUGCUAAUACCGCAUAAGCCCACGGCCCGGCAUCGGGCUGAGGGAAAAGGAUUUAUUCGCUUCAGGAUGGACUCGCGUCCAAUUAGCUAGUUGGUGAGGUAACGGCCCACCAAGGCGACGAUUGGUAGCCGGACUGAGAGGUUGAACGGCCACAUUGGGACUGAGACACGGCCCAGACUCCUACGGGAGGCAGCAGUGGGGGAUAUUGCACAAUGGGGGAAACCCUGAUGCAGCGACGCCGCGUGGAGGAAGAAGGUUUUCGGAUUGUAAACUCCUGUCGUUAGGGACGAUAAUGACGGUACCUAACAAGAAAGCACCGGCUAACUACGUGCCAGCAGCCGCGGUAAAACGUAGGGUGCAAGCGUUGUCCGGAAUUACUGGGUGUAAAGGGAGCGCAGGCGGACCGGCAAGUUGGAAGUGAAAACUAUGGGCUCAACCCAUAAAUUGCUUUCAAAACUGCUGGCCUUGAGUAGUGCAGAGGUAGGUGGAAUUCCCGGUGUAGCGGUGGAAUGCGUAGAUAUCGGGAGGAACACCAGUGGCGAAGGCGACCUACUGGGCACCAACUGACGCUGAGGCUCGAAAGCAUGGGUAGCAAACAGGAUUAGAUACCCUGGUAGUCCAUGCCGUAAACGAUGAUUACUAGGUGUUGGAGGAUUGACCCCUUCAGUGCCGCAGUUAACACAAUAAGUAAUCCACCUGGGGAGUACGACCGCAAGGUUGAAACUCAAAGGAAUUGACGGGGGCCCGCACAAGCAGUGGAGUAUGUGGUUUAAUUCGAAGCAACGCGAAGAACCUUACCAGGUCUUGACAUCCGAUGCAUAGCGCAGAGAUGCGUGAAGUCCUUCGGGACAUCGAGACAGGUGGUGCAUGGUUGUCGUCAGCUCGUGUCGUGAGAUGUUGGGUUAAGUCCCGCAACGAGCGCAACCCUUAUUGCCAGUUACUACGAAAGAGGACUCUGGCGAGACUGCCGUUGACAAAACGGAGGAAGGUGGGGAUGACGUCAAAUCAUCAUGCCCCUUAUGACCUGGGCUACACACGUAAUACAAUGGCGGUCAACAAAGGGAUGCAAAGCCGCGAGGCAGAGCGAACCCCAAAAAGCCGUCCCAGUUCGGAUCGCAGGCUGCAACCCGCCUGCGUGAAGUCGGAAUCGCUAGUAAUCGUGGGUCAGCAUACCACGGUGAAUACGUUCCCGGGCCUUGCACACACCGCCCGUCA
This 1374-nucleotide ribosomal RNA is filed under the name uncultured bacterium. RNAcentral's name for it is "16S ribosomal RNA". It matches the Rfam family "Bacterial small subunit ribosomal RNA". The record is from RNAcentral.